CCAUCCCUAGCUCAACUGGAUAGAGCAACGGUCUUCUAAACCGUAGGUUGCAGGUUCAAGUCCUGCGGGGUGGACCA
RNAcentral lists this transfer RNA (77 nucleotides) under Phycisphaerae bacterium. RNAcentral describes it as "tRNA-Arg". It matches the Rfam family "tRNA". Rfam says of the family: Transfer RNA (tRNA) molecules are approximately 80 nucleotides in length. Their secondary structure includes four short double-helical elements and three loops (D, anti-codon, and T loops). The record is from RNAcentral. Lineage: Bacteria; Pseudomonadati; Planctomycetota; Phycisphaerae.